Molecule: long non-coding RNA, 539 nt
Filed under: Cucumis sativus (cucumber)
Lineage: Eukaryota; Viridiplantae; Streptophyta; Magnoliopsida; Cucurbitales; Cucurbitaceae
Description: long non-coding RNA (CSAT_LNC002153)
Source: RNAcentral
GCCGAAGCAGAAGCGGCAGAGCCUGUGCCGCCACCUCCACCAGAGGAGGUGUUCAUCUGGGGAAUUCCUCUCCUCGGCGACGAAAGGAGCGAUGUGAUCCUGUUGAAAUUCCUCCGAGCCAGAGACUUCAAGGUGAAAGAUGCUUUCACUAUGAUCAAGAACACCGUUCGUUGGCGAAAACAAUUCGGCAUCGAGGCUCUUCUGGACGAGGACUUGGGCAACCAGUGGGACAAAGUGGUGUUCUCCCAUGGCGUCGACAGGGAAGGCCACCCUGUCUGCUACAACGUGUUCGGUGAGUUCGAGAACAAGGACUUGUAUCAAGCCACCUUCUCUGACGACGAAAAGAGCCUCAAAUUCUUGCGAUGGAGGAUUCAGUUUUUGGAGAAGAGCAUCAUAAAACUCGACUUCAGCCCCAGUGGCAUCUCCACCAUUGUUCAAGUCAACGACCUCAAAAACUCGCCUGGACUCACAAAGUGGGAGCUCAGAAACGCCACCAGGCGAGCUCUGCAACUAUUACAAGACAAUUAUCCUGAAUUCGC